ACGGUGAGUGAUGGGGUGACGCAGGAAGGUAGUCCAGCCCGGGCGGUCGGUUGUCCCGGGUAAGGGUGUAGGCCGUGCGGUAGGUAAAUCCGUCGCACACAAGGCUGAGACCUGAUGCCGAGCCGAUUGUGGUGAAGUGGAUGAUCCUAUGCUGUCGAGAAAAGCCUCUAGCGAGUUUCAUGGCGGCCCGUACCCUAAACCGACUCGGGUGGUCAGGUAGAGAAUACCGAGGCGUUCGGGUGAACUAUGGUUAAGGAACUCGGCAAAAUGCCCCCGUAACUUCGGGAGAAGGGGGGCCACAUCUGGUGAUGAGCUCUGCGCUCUGAGCUGGGGGUGGCCGCAGAGACCAGCGAGAAGCGACUGUUUACUAAAAACACAGGUCCGUGCGAAACCGUAAGGCGAUGUAUACGGACUGACGC
This 419-nucleotide non-coding RNA is filed under the name Streptomyces afghaniensis 772. Its description in RNAcentral is "Bacterial large subunit ribosomal RNA". It matches the Rfam family "Bacterial large subunit ribosomal RNA", at positions 1454 to 1858 of the family's 2925-position model. Lineage: Bacteria; Bacillati; Actinomycetota; Actinomycetes; Kitasatosporales; Streptomycetaceae. The record is from Rfam by way of RNAcentral.